Saccostrea echinata is the source of this 338-nucleotide long non-coding RNA. RefSeq lists it as uncharacterized. The transcript is spliced from 3 exons. Lineage: Eukaryota; Metazoa; Mollusca; Bivalvia; Ostreida; Ostreidae. The record is from RefSeq and is a predicted model, not a curated record.
UGUGUGUAUGUAUCAGGAAUUGCCGCAGGAGUUGUUAGAAAUUCACCAAGUAUCAUAGACGUUCAACAGACAGCACGAGUUACUAACGGAAAUAUACAAAUCACAAGUCAAGUCAAACAUUCUACGUCACAACCAAUACUAUCUAGCACAGUAGAGAAUGACGUCACAACUUACAACUCACAUCGUCAGCCAUGUACCCCAGAAGAAAUUCAGCAUCAGGCGUGUCUGAACAAUGGAACCUGCUUUGUUUUGUUGAUAGAAGGACGAACUACACAUUGUCUAUGCAGAACUCAUUAUUAUGGAUCCAGAUGUUAUUACUAUUAUCCGUUUUGUAAGUA